UUCAAUCAAUAUGAUAUCUAGUUUGUUAAUAAAUGAAUUUAAUUCAUUUUUAAAUUUAGAUUUAUUAUAAUUUUAUUUAUAAUAAUUUAUUUAAGUUAAACUUUUUAGGGAUAAGCUUAAUUAGUUUUUUAAAAAUUUUUUGUUUUAAAAUUUUUUAUAGGAUUGAUAAUUUUCAUUUUUAUUUUGUUAUAAUUAUUUUUUUUUAAUUAAAAUUUUUAUUUUUUUAAUUUUUUAUUAAUACUUUUUUUAUAAUUUUUUAUUUAAUUGAUAAUGAUAAAAUUAGUAAUUUUUUUAAUUUAAUUAUAGGAAUUCGGCAAAAUUAAUUUUCACCUGUUUAACAAAAACAUGGUUUUUUGAAUUUUAUAUAAGAUUAAACCUGCCCACUGAUUUUUAUGAAUUUAAAGGCUGCGGUAUUUUAACUGUACGAAGGUAGCAUAAUCAUUUGCCUUUUAAUUGGAGGCUGGAAUGAAUGGUUCAAUGAAAAAUUAACUUUCUUUAAUUAAUUUAUUUGAAUUUAAUUUUUUAGUUAAAAAGCUUAAAUUAUUUUAUAGGACGAGAAGACCCUAUAGAAAUUUAUUUUUUUUAUAAAUUUUUAUUUUUGGUUUUUAUAAAUAUUAAUUUAGAAUGGGAAAUUUUAUUGGGGUGAUAGUAAAAUUUAUUUAACUUUUAUUUUUUAAUUUCAUUAAUUAAUGUAUUUUUUGAUCCAAAAUUUUUGAUUAAAAGAUUAAUUUACCUUAGGGAUAACAGCGUAAUUUUUUCGGAGAGUUCUUAUUGAUGAAUAAAGUUUGCGACCUCGAUGUUGAAUUAAGAUAAGAUUUAGGUGUAGAAUUUUAAUUUUCUUGGUCUGUUCGACCAUUAAAUUCUUACAUGAUUUGAGUUCAGACCGGCGUGAGCCAGGUCGGUUUCUAUCCUUAAUUUUUUGUAGGUUAGUACGAAAGGACCACUUACUUCAAUUAAUAUUGUUAUUUAUUUUGAUUAUAAUUAAAAAAAAAA
Molecule: ribosomal RNA, 993 nt
Filed under: Stridulivelia tersa
Lineage: Eukaryota; Metazoa; Arthropoda; Insecta; Hemiptera; Veliidae
Description: partial 16S ribosomal RNA
Rfam family: Archaeal large subunit ribosomal RNA (bases 551-911)
Source: RNAcentral